RNAcentral lists this ribosomal RNA (253 nucleotides) under Coprococcus comes ATCC 27758. Its description in RNAcentral is "partial 16S ribosomal RNA". It matches the Rfam family "Bacterial small subunit ribosomal RNA", at positions 524 to 776 of the family's 1533-position model. Lineage: Bacteria; Bacillati; Bacillota; Clostridia; Lachnospirales; Lachnospiraceae. The record is from RNAcentral.
UACGUAUGGUGCAAGCGUUAUCCGGAUUUACUGGGUGUAAAGGGAGCGUAGACGGCUGUAUAAGUCUGAAGUGAAAGCCCGGGGCUCAACCCCGGGACUGCUUUGGAAACUAUGCAGCUAGAGUGUCGGAGAGGUAAGUGGAAUUCCCAGUGUAGCGGUGAAAUGCGUAGAUAUUGGGAGGAACACCAGUGGCGAAGGCGGCUUACUGGACGAUGACUGACGUUGAGGCUCGAAAGCGUGGGGAGCAAACAGG